AGUGAACGCUGGCGGUGGGCCUAACACAUGCAAGUCGAACGGCAGCACAGUAAGAGCUUGCUCUUACGGGUGGCGAGUGGCGGACGGGUGAGGAAUACAUCGGAAUCUACUUUUUCGUGGGGGAUAACGUAUGGAAACUUACGCUAAUACCGCAUACGACCUACGGGUGAAAGCAGGGGAUCUUCGGACCUUGCGCGAUUGAAUGAGCCGAUGUCGGAUUAGCUAGUUGGCGGGGUAAAGGCCCACCAAGGCGACGAUCCGUAGCUGGUCUGAGAGGAUGAUCAGCCACACUGGAACUGAGACACGGUCCAGACUCCUACGGGAGGCAGCAGUGGGGAAUAUUGGACAAUGGGCGCAAGCCUGAUCCAGCCAUACCGCGUGGGUGAAGAAGGCCUUCGGGUUGUAAAGCCCUUUUGUUGGGAAAGAAAAGCAGCAGGUUAAUACCCCGCUGUUCUGACGGUACCCAAAGAAUAAGCACCGGCUAACUUCGUG
Molecule: ribosomal RNA, 492 nt
Filed under: uncultured bacterium
Lineage: Bacteria
Description: partial 16S ribosomal RNA
Rfam family: Bacterial small subunit ribosomal RNA
Source: RNAcentral